GAUGAACGCUGGCGGCGUGCCUAAUACAUGCAAGUCGAGCGAACAGACGAGGGGCUUGCUCCUCUCUCGUUUGCGGCGGGCGGGGGAGUAACACGUGGAUAACCCCCCUAUAAGACUGGGAUAAAUUCGGGAAACCGGAGCUAAUACCGGAUAAUCUACUGAACCGCAUGGGUCAAUAGAGAAAGACGGUUUUGCUGUCACUUCUCGAUGGGUACCCGCCGCAUUAGCUAGUUGGUAAGGUAACGGCUUACCAAGGCAACGAUGCGUAGCCGACCUGAGAGGGUGAUCGGCCACACUGGAACUGAGACACGGUCCAGACUCCUACGGGAGGCAGCAGUAGGGAAUCUUCCGCAAUGGGCGAAAGCUUGACGGAGCAACGCCGCGUGAGUGAUGAAGGUCUUCGGAUCGUAAAACUCUGUUAUUAGGGAAGAACAAAUGUGUAAGUAACUAUGCACGUCUUGACGGUACCUAAUCAGAAAGCCACGGCUAACUACGUG
This 497-nucleotide ribosomal RNA is filed under the name uncultured bacterium. RNAcentral describes it as "partial 16S ribosomal RNA". It matches the Rfam family "Bacterial small subunit ribosomal RNA", at positions 28 to 507 of the family's 1533-position model. The record is from RNAcentral.